Podarcis lilfordi (Lilford's wall lizard) is the source of this 74-nucleotide non-coding RNA. The record is from the annotation of a GenBank genome assembly. NCBI's taxonomy places the organism in Eukaryota, Metazoa, Chordata, Lepidosauria, Squamata, Lacertidae.
ACCUGGAUAGCUUGGUUGGUUAGAGCGUAGUUCUGAUAAUGCCAAGGUUGCAGGUUAGAUUCCUGUAUUGGAAA